UACGGGGGGAGCAAGCGUUGUUCGGAUUUACUGGGCGUCAAGGGCGCGUAGGCGGCCAGCACAAGUCAGUUGUGAAAUCUCCGGGCUUAACUCGGAAAGGUCAACUGAUACUGUGCGGCUAGAGUGCGGAAGGGGCAACUGGAAUUCUCGGUGUAGCGGUGAAAUGCGUAGAUAUCGAGAGGAACACCUGCGGCGAAGGCGGGUUGCUGGGCCGACACUGACGCUGAUGCGCGAAAGCCAGGGGAGCGAACGGG
RNAcentral lists this ribosomal RNA (254 nucleotides) under uncultured bacterium. Its description in RNAcentral is "partial 16S ribosomal RNA". It matches the Rfam family "Bacterial small subunit ribosomal RNA", at positions 524 to 776 of the family's 1533-position model. The record is from RNAcentral.